This 253-nucleotide unclassified non-coding RNA is filed under the name uncultured bacterium. RNAcentral's name for it is "contains 16S-23S intergenic spacer region". It matches the Rfam family "Bacterial small subunit ribosomal RNA", at positions 524 to 776 of the family's 1533-position model. The record is from RNAcentral.
UACAGAGGGUGCAAGCGUUAAUCGGAAUUACUGGGCGUAAAGCGUGCGUAGGCGGCUUUUUAAGUCGGAUGUGAAAUCCGCGAGCUUAACUUGGGAAUUGCAUUCGAUACUGGGAAGCUAGAGUAUGGGAGAGUAUGGGAGAAUUCCAGGUGUAGCGGUGAAAUGCGUAGAGAACUGGAGGAAUACCGAUGGCGAAGGCAGCCAUCUGGCCUAAUACUAACGCUGAGGUACGAAAGCAUGGGGAUCAAACAGG